RNAcentral lists this ribosomal RNA (246 nucleotides) under uncultured bacterium. RNAcentral's name for it is "partial 16S ribosomal RNA". It matches the Rfam family "Bacterial small subunit ribosomal RNA", at positions 15 to 263 of the family's 1533-position model. The record is from RNAcentral.
GAUCAUGGCUCAGGAUGAACGCUGGCGGCGUGCCUAAUACAUGCAAGUCGAGCGGGGUAGCCUGCUACCCAGCGGCGAACGGGUGAGUAACAUGUAGGUAACCUGCCUUCGAGUCCGGAAUACCCAGGCGAAAGCUUGGCUAAUGCCGGAUAACAGCGGACCCCGCCUGGGGCCCGCGUGAAAGCCGCCCCAAAGCGGCGCUCCUAGAUGGACCUGCGGCGCAUUAGCUAGUUGGCGGGGCAACGG